GCUAUUUUUAAGGAUCAGUUGGGCAUAGGGCAUCUUGCUAAAUACAGGGGAAGAAAACAAUGACAAAGCAGUUUAGUGGGCAAAGGAUAAUGAAUUUAUUUCACCUCAUAAUUUUGCCAAAGGCUAAUAUUUUGUGUACAUCCAUAGCAAAUAGGUUACAUGUUUUGGGUUUCCAAAUUAGAAAAUUUAAAACAUUAUAAUCUUUAGUAUGUAUUUCUUGAGGGCUUUGUCUAUCUGAUUCAUCAGUCUUUCAAAAUGUGUUAGAGUUUCCUGAUGAAGUUGGAGCUGCCCAUUAUUUAGCAUACUAUAUCGACAUGGUGCAUGGGAGGACUGGACCCCUAUUUAUAGAAAAUUAACUUAAUAAUGUAUGUGUUAUUUCUAUAAUGGUGCAGGUUAAGAUAUAUGUACUUACUUUAUCAACUUUAAAAGUCUAAAUAGGCCUAGAGGCACAAGUAUUUAGCAAGUUC
RNAcentral lists this long non-coding RNA (467 nucleotides) under Bos taurus (domestic cattle). Its description in RNAcentral is "long non-coding RNA NONBTAT021845". The record is from RNAcentral. Lineage: Eukaryota; Metazoa; Chordata; Mammalia; Artiodactyla; Bovidae.